CCUGGCGGCCUUAGCGCGGUGGUCCCACCUGACCCCAUGCCGAACUCAGAAGUGAAACGCCGUAGCGCCGAUGGUAGUGUGGGGUCUCCCCAUGCGAGAGUA
This 102-nucleotide ribosomal RNA is filed under the name Escherichia coli. RNAcentral also lists the same sequence under 6 other names. The record is from RNAcentral. Lineage: Bacteria; Pseudomonadati; Pseudomonadota; Gammaproteobacteria; Enterobacterales; Enterobacteriaceae.